Molecule: long non-coding RNA, 924 nt
Organism: Falco peregrinus (peregrine falcon)
Lineage: Eukaryota; Metazoa; Chordata; Aves; Falconiformes; Falconidae
Exons: 3
Source: RefSeq, a predicted model, not a curated record
UUCGACUGUGGGCUUUCACAGAGCCAUGCAGCUGAAGACCUAAUAAACAGAGAUCAUGUACAACUUUAAGACUUCUGGAAGAAUUUUGGACAAGUGACUGGCCUUCCAAAAGGGGCAAAUCUUGUGCUUUCAUAGUUGCUGCGUUGCAGGAAACUACUGUAUUUCUUGAUGGUUCAUGAAGUAUUUAAAUCUACAAAGUUGCUGAUUUAAAUUAUUUUAAUGCAGCAGUCAUGAAACUCGUCUUACAUUUAAAGGUAUUAUUGAUUGAUUGGUUUUUUUGGGGAGGGGGUGCAGAUUUUUAUUUUAAUUUCAGCAUGAACCACUCUUGUUUAAAAACAAGUUACUUCAGUGCCUUUGUUAAACUCAAGUUGCCUCUUGUACCACUUACAUUAGUGGUAGUAGGCUGUUCAGCUGUUAAGCUAAAAGACCCAUCACCCAGGUACUUGCUACCUUAACUUUUGCAGCUUCCAUUAACUCUUGCAGCUACAAUCCUACCUUGUUAGUGUAUUUUUGUGUGGGAAAUUCUGACAACACCGUAAGGAAUCCCAAAACACUAUGACGAAAAGAACCCAGUGCAUCUAAUGCCCUGCUCUGUGCCACCCUUUCCCGGUGGAGGUGAUACCAAACUGGACUUUGUAUUGAAGGUAACGAGGAGCACUCAAGGUGAACUCAGCUGAGCACUAUAAAGAUGGCAUCCAGAAAAGCUGAUCCAGGGCACAACAGUCAACUUUCUGCUCUACCAUCAUCCAUGAACAUACUCCCCUUCCACUGGCUAGACAAGCCCUUGUGUGUGCAGCGAAAGGUCAAAACCUAAAUCUCUGAAGGCAGAUUUCUUUGCUGUAACUGGAUCCCAUGUAUCACCAUCAGGCCAUUUAGAUUACGUUGAGAGCCACUGCUGGACCCUUGAGAGAGACUUACCUGAAA